This 460-nucleotide ribosomal RNA is filed under the name uncultured bacterium. Its description in RNAcentral is "partial 16S ribosomal RNA". It matches the Rfam family "Bacterial small subunit ribosomal RNA", at positions 338 to 795 of the family's 1533-position model. The record is from RNAcentral.
CCUACGGGUGACAGCAGUGAGGAAUAUUGGUCAAUGGACGAGAGUCUGAACCAGCCAAGUAGCGUGAAGGAUGACUGCCCUAUGGGUUGUAAACCUCUUUUAUAUGGGAAUAACAUGUUCCACGUGUGGGAUUUUGUAUGUACCAUAUGAAUAAGGGUCGGCUAACUCCGUGCCAGCAGCCGCGGUAAUACGGAGGAUCCGAGCGUUAUCCGGAUUUAUUGGGUUUAAAGGGAGCGUAGGUGGAUUGUUAAGUCAGUUGUGAAAGUUUGCGGCUCAACCGUAAAAUUGCAGUUGAAACUGGCAGUCUUGAGUACAGUAGAGGUGGGCGGAAUUCGUGGUGUAGCGGUGAAAUGCUUAGAUAUCACGAAGAACUCCGAUUGCGAAGGCAGUUCACUGGACUGCAACUGACACUGAGGCUCGAAAGUGUGGGUAUCAAACAGGAUUAGAUACCCUAGUAGUC